GAUGAACGCUGGCGGCGUGCCUAAUACAUGCAAGUCGAGCGAACAGACGAGGAGCUUGCUCCUCUGACGUUAUCAGCGGACGGGUGAGUAACACGUGGAUAACCUAACUAUAAGACUGGGAUAACUUCGGGAAACCAGAGCUAAUACCGGAUAAUAUAUUGAACCGCAAGGUUCAAUAGUGAAAGACGGUUUUGCUGUCACUUAUAGAUGGAUCAGCGCAUCAUUAACUAGUUGGUAAGGUAACUGCUUACCAAGGCAACGAUGCGUAGCCGACCUGAGAGGGACGAUGGCCACCUGGUCACAGAGGAUCGUCCGCGACUCCGGCGGUGGGCCACAGUAGGGAAUCCUCCGCGAUGGAGCAAUGGCGAAUGGAGCACCGUCGGCGGAAGCAUGAAGGUCUUCUGCUGGGAGAACGCUGUUAGUCUGGAGGUAGUAAUGUGUAAGUACCUAUGCACGUAUUGACGGUACCUAAUCAAAAAGCCACGGCUAACUCCGUG
Molecule: ribosomal RNA, 497 nt
Filed under: uncultured bacterium
Lineage: Bacteria
Description: partial 16S ribosomal RNA
Rfam family: Bacterial small subunit ribosomal RNA
Source: RNAcentral